Molecule: ribosomal RNA, 495 nt
Filed under: uncultured bacterium
Lineage: Bacteria
Description: partial 16S ribosomal RNA
Rfam family: Bacterial small subunit ribosomal RNA
Source: RNAcentral
GACGAACGCUGGCGGCGUGCCUAAUACAUGCGAGUCGAACGCUGAAGGAGGAGCUUGCUUCUCUGGAUGAGUUGCGAACGGGUGAGUAACGCGUAGGUAACCUGCCUGGUAGCGGGGGAUAACUAUUGGAAACGAUAGCUAAUACCGCAUAAUAGUAGAUGUCGCAUGACAUUUGCUUAAAAGGUGCAAUUGCAUCACUACCAGAUGGACCUGCGUUGUAUUAGCUAGUUGGUGAGGUAACGGCUCACCAAGGCAACGAUACAUAGCCGACCUGAGAGGGGGAGCGGCCACACUGGGACUGAGACACGGCCCAGACGCCUACGGGAGGCAGCAGUAGGGAAUCGUGGGCAAGGGACGGAAGUCUGACCGAGCAACGCCGCGUGAGGGAAGAAGGGUGUCGGAUCGGAAAGCUCGGUUGUAAGAGAAGAACGAGUGUGAGAGUGGAAAGUUCACACUGUGACGGUAGCUUACCAGAAAGGGACGGCUAACUACGUG